UUGUCGAAUCCUGCAAAGCAGACAACCGCGAACUCGUGUAACUCUCGGGCGCGGGGGUCGGGGGGCAACCCCCUCUCCCCGUCGCUCCCCGUGCGCCCGUCGCACGGUAUUAACUAAACCCCGGCGCGGAAAGCGCCAAGGAAUACGUAACGGAUUGCCCGCCUCUCGUUGCCCCGUUCGCGGUGCGCAAUGGGGGUGCUGCGGCGUCUAUCUUAACCAAAACGACUCUCGGCAACGGAUAUCUCGGCUCUCGCAUCGAUGAAGAACGUAGCGAAAUGCGAUACUUGGUGUGAAUUGCAGAAUCCCGUGAACCAUCGAGUCUUUGAACGCAAGUUGCGCCCGAAGCCGUUAGGCCGAGGGCACGUCUGCCUGGGCGUCACGCAUCGCGUCGCCGCCCCCACUCUUCGUUGGAGGCGGCGGAUAUUGGCCUCCCGUGCCUCCGCGCGCGGCCGGCCUAAAUGCGAGUCCUCGGCGAGGGACGUCACGACAAGUGGUGGUUGAACCCUCAACUCGAGUCCUGUCGUGCCGAUGCCCGACGCCGUUUUACGGGCUCUCUUGACCCUUGAGCACGCGUCACCGACGCGGGCCUCGACCGCGACCCCA
RNAcentral lists this ribosomal RNA (603 nucleotides) under Luculia yunnanensis. RNAcentral describes it as "eukaryotic LSU rRNA". The stretch from base 224 to 379 matches the Rfam family "5.8S ribosomal RNA". The record is from RNAcentral. Lineage: Eukaryota; Viridiplantae; Streptophyta; Magnoliopsida; Gentianales; Rubiaceae.